AAAAAAAAAAAAAAAAAAAACUUAUAUUUAUUAUGUUAAAAAAAUGGAGUCAUGCAAGACAAGAAUGCAAGUGCAUGUACAAGAACAAUCCGGACCAAUGGUCAGUAAGAAAACAAAAAUCAACAGCUUGGAAGAUCAGACGGUGGUGGUUGUAGCUUCUGAUUGGGUUGGGGUCCAUCCAACACUAGCCAUGCCAUCCUUAGCCCCCAGCUCGUGUGAACAUCCAGGUGACAGUGCAUAAACCAUACCCCUGGAUUAUCCGCUAGGAAGCGAAUGGCAAUCCAACCUCCAGCUGGAACCCCAGCUGUGUUCCUCUCAAUAGGGUCGACUAAAUUGAACUUGGCAGGAUCUUUGUUUGGAUCGUAGUUGCCGAAACCUUGUCCAACCACAAAAAAAUUAAAUCCAUGCAGAUGGAGAGGGUGGCUCUCUGCACCAAGAAUGCUCGUGCCUUGCAAUACCAGUUGCACGCUCGUGUUGAACCGUAGAAUCAACGCUUUUGUGCCAUUGCUAACCAUUGUAUUAUUUGGUGGGGUACCCGUAUAGUUAAAAGGUACAGGUGGGUUCUGAGGAAAAUCAGCUGUGAAAACGCUAUUAGACUUUCCAAAGAAAUAGGAUUGGAGAAGAGCUACAGUGGGUAAUGCAAAGGAGAUAUUAUUAACAGAAGCAGCAAAUUUGGUAGUAUUCGUAGGUCCCUGACAAGUGUUGUUGGCAGGGCAUGGAUUAGUCCCAAGUCCUACAGUGAAAAGAAAAUUUCUGUCUACAGUUUGUGGUACAUUAGCAGGGAAUUUGGCAUUGGCUAAGCUACGGAAUUUCCUGGUGAAAUUUGCAACGAAGGCUGUAGCGUUGAAUGGUGGCAGGGUUGGCUUAAAUAAGGGAAGCUUUUUAGAACUAUUUGAAGGGUGCUUGUAUUCAAGAAUAGCGGCAGUGGUCGAGUUGUCAAAGUUUCCAAUUCCAGUGAAGUAAGGCCUAGCAGACAUGAAAAAGAUUGCAUUAGGAAAAGCAGGCUUGGUUUUGAGGAGAACGUUAGUGGUUUGGCCUGGGGUGAUGAGGAGUGUAUCAGUGUCAAAAGGCUUAACAUAAAUGGCAUCAGCUUCGACGACGGUGAGAGUGUGGUUAGCGAUGCUGAAGAAAAGCUCGUCGUUGAGUGCAGCGUUGAUCAAGCGGAGAAGGUAGGUUUUUCCUGGCUUUACCUUCAGCUUGAAUGUAUCUUUAGAAGAACAGUUGUAUAGUGGCCCUGGGAGACCAUUGAUGGUAUAUGCAUCCGAAACAUUUGGACCUGCUCCAGUCUGAAGUGCCUGUGCAAUUAUAGCCUCUGGAUCUACGUUAAACCACUCUCCAAAGAGGAUGGGUAUCUCCUCGUAGGGCUUCUGAAAUGGGUAUGAUUCAUUGUGUUUUGGGAGGAUAAUGAUGGCUCCAUAAACGGAUGAUCUGAGCCAUGAGAUAUGAGCAUGCCAUAAGAGAGUUCCUCUCUGCCCAGUAAUGGUGAAGUUGUAGUUGUAUGACUGCCCAUUCUGUAUCGGACAUUGUGUUACAUAAGCAGGUCCAUCUGCCCAUCCGCUUGUAAGCUGCCUUAUCCCAUGCCAAUGAAUGGUGAUAUUGUAUGAAACAUGGUUAACAACCUUGACGAUAACUCGAUCACCUUCUCUUGCAACCAAGCGAGGCCCUGGGAACUUGCCAUUCACCGUCACAACGCUCCUUGUAUUGCAUAGUCUUGUAAUGUUUUGGUACGUGAUAUUGAACGUGUAAAGCCUUGUUAUGCCCACCGCAGAGUUUGGCAAUAACAAUAAAACACAGAAAGAACAGAAGAGGAGAGCUGCCAUUGAAGCAAAUGAAGGACGACAGGAGAUACCAAUUGCUUAAUUUCUCUUCUUCUCUCUCUAUUGAGUGAAUGUUGGAAGGGAAGUGAAGGGAAUGAGUGUGUG
This 1922-nucleotide unclassified non-coding RNA is filed under the name Hevea brasiliensis (rubber tree). Lineage: Eukaryota; Viridiplantae; Streptophyta; Magnoliopsida; Malpighiales; Euphorbiaceae. The record is from RNAcentral.